RNAcentral lists this ribosomal RNA (274 nucleotides) under uncultured bacterium. Its description in RNAcentral is "partial 16S ribosomal RNA". It matches the Rfam family "Bacterial small subunit ribosomal RNA", at positions 523 to 796 of the family's 1533-position model. The record is from RNAcentral.
AUACGGAGGGUGCAAGCGUUAUUCGGAAUCACUGGGCGUAAAGGACGCGUAGGCGGGUUGGCAAGUCAGAUGUGAAAUCCUACAGCUUAACUGUAGAACUGCAUUUGAAACUGCUAACCUAGAGUAUGGGAGGGGGAGAUGGGAUUAGUGGUGUAGGGGUAAAAUCCGUAGAUAUCACUAGGUAUACCGAAAGCGAAGGCGAUCUCCUGGAACAUAACUGACGCUAAGGCGUGAAAGCGUGGGGAGCAAACAGGAUUAGAAACCCUAGUAGUCC